RNAcentral lists this ribosomal RNA (466 nucleotides) under uncultured bacterium. RNAcentral's name for it is "partial 16S ribosomal RNA". It matches the Rfam family "Bacterial small subunit ribosomal RNA", at positions 28 to 507 of the family's 1533-position model. The record is from RNAcentral.
GACGAACGCUGGCGGCGUGCUUAACACAUGCAAGUCGAACGGAAAGGCCCUGCUUGCAGGGUACUCGAGUGGCGAACGGGUGAGUAACACGUGGGUGAUCUGCCCUCCACUUCGGGAUAAGCCUGGGAAACUGGGUCUAAUACCGGAUAGGAGCCAUUUUUAGUGAUAUGGUUGGAUAGUUUUUUUCGGUGUAGGAUGAGCUCGCGGCCUAUCAGCUUGUUGGUGGGGUAAUGGCCUACCAAGGCGGCGACGGGUAGCCGGCCCGAGGGGGUGGACGGCCACAUUGGGACUUGGAUACGGGCCAGACUCCCACGGGAGGCAAGAGGGGGGAAUUAUGCACAAAGGGCGCGAGCCUGAUGCAGCGACGCCGCGUGGGGGAUGACGGCCUUCGGGUUGGAAACUCCUUUCGCUAGGGACGAAGCUUUUUGUGACGGUACCUAGAUAAGAAGCACCGGCUAACUACGUG